ACAUCUAUCAAAUCAGCCCUGCCUCAAAGUUCAGCUCACCCACCAGGAAUAAAACAUUUUCUACUGAAAAUGAAGAUAGAUAAUUUAAAGUGUAGAAAGAAAAAAUCAAAUUGAAGGGAAAGUGGGGUCAGUGGAGAAGAAUGAAGCCAGGGAGAGGUUUCUGAGUGUCCAGAUCAAAGACAGAAACAUAAUCUGUUGCAAAAUUUCUGCUCUUCUUGAGUUGCUGAAAGUAGUUCUUCCUGGUGCUAAAAGCUCCUUGAGAGAAGAGAAUAUGUCAGUUUUGUUCUCUGCUGUAACCUCAAUGCUGAGAGCAGGGUACAGAGUAAGUGCUCAAUAAAUAUUUGUUGAAUGAACAAGUGAAUAAGACCUCAAUGGAUAUAGAAGACAAAAUCUUCAGCAGCCUGCCCUCACCCAAGACAGAGCCGGCUUUGGAUAUUCUUUCUCCCAGAUCUCUCAAUGUGAGCCAAGAGCAAACUGUUAAAAGCCACUUGGGACACCUAUGUGGCCCUAA
RNAcentral lists this long non-coding RNA (511 nucleotides) under Homo sapiens (human). Its description in RNAcentral is "HSALNT0162472". The record is from RNAcentral. Lineage: Eukaryota; Metazoa; Chordata; Mammalia; Primates; Hominidae.